GACGGUAGAAAUCCUUUUGUAAUACCAUAGCUCAUCUUCUUUCAUAUAGUACUCAGAAAUGGUUUCAGAGUCCUUCAGGUUCACGGAGCUUCUCUAAUAAAGAGCCACUUCUCAGAGUACGAGUCCUAAUCAAGUUAAAAAUGUCAUACAUGGAGUCAUUACUUAUUAAAUAAGUGCUGUUCUGUGAAAUUAAACCAUGCUUUCACAAGAUUAACCCAUGAUCUUGAUUUUCUUUUGAGUUUGAAAUUACACUAACAAACUUGGCUUUCAAGAAAUGACUUUAAUGUUUAUAUUUUCAAAUUUUCAGGUUUGAUUGGCUCAGUCAAAUGUAAUGUUCAGAUUAAUAUCUCAAGAGAAUAUGUCUGCUCUGACGUUUAGCCUACUUACUAGACUCAUGUCUAAUCAUUAUGUUUUUUUUUUUUUAAAUCAAUAGUAAAAAACUUACAUUUUUGAUCUGUCUUCAAUUUGCACUGAUUAUACUUGACAUGUUUACAUGUUUGUCACUUUUGCUUUGUGCCAAAGUGUUUUUUAUUUUGAUACUUUUUAAUUUAUUAAAUAGAGCGUCGUCUUAUGAUUAAGAUGGCAAAAAUGUUUUCUGCUGAUAAAAACAUUUCUCAAGCCUUGGCUUUUUUUGUUUGCCCAUGCCUUGUUUCCAAUGGAGGUUUUGGCUGCUUAUACUAAUUACCCAGUUUUUACUCUGGAACAAAAUCAUUAAUGCUGAUGCUAAACAUUUCACAUUGUACAGACCAACCAAACAUACUGAGCAGCAGAUGUUUAGUACAGCUAAAAUGUAAACUUCCAUGAAUCUGAGCCAUAUCAAUGUUUGUAUAGGCAAUAUUCUGUCCUAAAUUAUAAAUGUUGUUACAUGUUCAAGGCUGUCAUUAUUCUAGCCUACCUAUACUAUCAACGAAUCCCAGACAAGGCUAAAACCAACACAUUAAUCCCACUGACAAUCAGCCACAAUCUGACAGGGCUGCUUCCUUAGUGGCGCAGAACUCCACUAUCGGCCCACAUCCAUUACAGAUGUCUUCUACCAUUACACGUGGCUGGCAUACAGUAUAACUUCACUGCAAUCAGCGCGACUUUUAUUGUGAAAGAAAUCCACAGGUGCGUUAAUAUCCUGUAGAGGCGGAUGUCGUCGGGAACUCGGACACGGUGACCGAGCGUGUGUCGCGGUGCUACUUAUUGCUUUUGCUAGUUAAAGCCAAAACUAAGCCGUGCUAACUGCAGUGCCGGGAAAUCUCACCCAGGUUUAAAGAUUCAUUGUGUUGGAUGAACAGGAUCGCAACUUGUAUGAGGGCCCAGAAUUUCUAACAGCAUGCUUGAUCUGCCGCCUGCAGCGCCUCAACCAUUGUUCACAGACGAUGCUGGUGUUUUCAGUGAUGGUGACUAUAAGCUCUCCAAUCAUGCAGACAACUUGCCACGGCUCUACUCCAGCCAGGUCCCCAGCAUGAAGAUGACCCAUCAGUCUGCCGCGUGUUACAUGAGCCAAUCUGCUGGGAUGAUAAAUGAUAACCAGGAGCUCGGUGCUGCUGGCCCUGUCAGAGGAGAUUUCGGAUGGGAAGGAUGAUGGGGUUGCCACACCGAAGCGUGGCGCGGGGCUCACAGCAGGUGCCAAAUGAGCCUUGCGAAGCAGAAGGCUGGCCGGCGCUGCAAGUGACAGAUGUCUGAUAUGUUUGGCAUGGAUUAGCUAAAAGCUUAUUUCUGCACCUUCUCUGUCACCGGAGCUCAGACUCCUCAGACAAUUCACCAGUUUCCAGAUCAUGUGCAGGCUGUGAAGCAUCCAGGCAACAGAAAUGCAAGGUUGUCCAACUUGUGCAUCUGCCCUUUAAAAAAUUAAAAAAAAUAAAGCCAGUCAACCAAUCACCUUUCAAGGUCAAAUCAUUUGCAAUAGUGUGAGAUCUUUCUUGAACAAUUUCUGUUUUCUAAUGAUAAAUCGAUUGUAUGAUAGUGAAAAUAUAAAAAAACACCUGUCAAACACAGACCCAU
Seriola aureovittata is the source of this 1989-nucleotide long non-coding RNA. RefSeq lists it as uncharacterized. NCBI's taxonomy places the organism in Eukaryota, Metazoa, Chordata, Actinopteri, Carangiformes, Carangidae. The record is from RefSeq and is a predicted model, not a curated record. The transcript is spliced from 4 exons.